GGCUCAUUAAUCAGUUAUCGUUUAUUUGAUAGUUCCUUUACUACAUGGUAUAACUGUGGUAAUUCUAGAGCUAAUACAUGCUUAAAAUCUCGACCCUUUGGAAGAGAUGUAUUUAUUAGAUAAAAAAUCAAUGUCUUCGGACUCUUUGAUGAUUCAUAAUAACUUUUCGAAUCGCAUGGCCUUGUGCUGGCGAUGGUUCAUUCAAAUUUCUGCCCUAUCAACUUUCGAUGGUAGGAUAGUGGCCUACCAUGGUUUCAACGGGUAACGGGGAAUAAGGGUUCGAUUCCGGAGAGGGAGCCUGAGAAACGGCUACCACAUCCAAGGAAGGCAGCAGGCGCGCAAAUUACCCAAUCCUAAUUCAGGGAGGUAGUGACAAUAAAUAACGAUACAGGGCCCAUUCGGGUCUUGUAAUUGGAAUGAGUACAAUGUAAAUACCUUAACGAGGAACAAUUGGAGGGCAAGUCUGGUGCCAGCAGCCGCGGUAAUUCCAGCUCCAAUAGCGUAUAUUAAAGUUGUUGCAGUUAAAAAGCUCGUAGUUGAACUUUGGGCCCGGUUGGCCGGUCCGAUUUUUUCGUGUACUGGAUUUCCAACGGGGCCUUUCCUUCUGGCUAACCUUGAGUCCUUGUGGCUCUUGGCGAACCAGGACUUUUACUUUGAAAAAAUUAGAGUGUUCAAAGCAGGCGUAUUGCUCGAAUAUAUUAGCAUGGAAUAAUAGAAUAGGACGUUUGGUUCUAUUUUGUUGGUUUCUAGGACCAUCGUAAUGAUUAAUAGGGACGGUCGGGGGCAUCAGUAUUCAAUUGUCAGAGGUGAAAUUCUUGGAUUUAUUGAAGACUAACUACUGCGAAAGCAUUUGCCAAGGACGUUUUCAUUAAUCAAGAACGAAAGUUAGGGGAUCGAAGAUGAUCAGAUACCGUCGUAGUCUUAACCAUAAACUAUGCCGACUAGGGAUCGGGUGGUGUUUUUUUAAUGACCCACUCGGCACCUUACGAG
Molecule: ribosomal RNA, 990 nt
Filed under: Saccharomyces cerevisiae (brewer's yeast)
Lineage: Eukaryota; Fungi; Ascomycota; Saccharomycetes; Saccharomycetales; Saccharomycetaceae
Description: SSU rRNA
Rfam family: Eukaryotic small subunit ribosomal RNA
Source: RNAcentral